CUUUGGUGACUUGUCCACUCCAGUGUGGCAUCAUGUGGCAGCUGCUCCUCCCAACUGCUCUGCUACUUCUAGUUUCAGCUGGCAUGCGGACUGGUGAGUCAGCUUCAUGGUCUUGGAUUGACCCAGUGGGGCACAUAUGGGGACAAUGGCCAUAAGAUAUUGGGAAAUGCUUGUUGAAUGGGAAAAUGCUGAUGUGGGGUUAGCAGGGAUAGUUCCUCCAACACAGCAGAACUUGGCCCUGUGCUUCUCUGGCCAGCUUUCCUUAAGAUACUGAACAGGCCAAAAAUGGGGCCAAGAUGCUCUAAGACUGAGCCACCAAGCAUGGGUUUGCAAUGAGCUCAUUCUGGCUUUGAGGCUCCCUGGGAAUGGCAGUGUAGAGCCUGCUCCUCUCCCUGUCCUCACCCCACAUUAUCUUGGCUCCUCAGAAGAUCUCCCAAAGGCUGUGGUGUUCCUGGAGCCUCAAUGGUACAGCGUGCUUGAGAAGGACAGUGUGACUCUGAAGUGCCAGGGAGCCUACUCCCCUGAGGACAAUUCCACACAGUGGUUUCACAAUGAGAACCUCAUCUCAAGC
This 571-nucleotide long non-coding RNA is filed under the name Homo sapiens (human). Its description in RNAcentral is "non-protein coding lnc-FCGR3A-5:1". Lineage: Eukaryota; Metazoa; Chordata; Mammalia; Primates; Hominidae. The record is from RNAcentral.